CAGCCGCCGCGGUAAUACGAAGGGGGCUAGCGUUGCUCGGAAUCACUGGGCGUAAAGGGUGCGUAGGCGGGUCUUUAAGUCUGGGGUGAAAUCCUGGAGCUCAACUCCAGAACUGCCUUUGAUACUGAAGAUCUUGAGUAUGGGAGAGGUGAGUGGAACUGCGAGUGUAGAGGUGAAAUUCGUAGAUAUUCGCAAGAACACCAGUGGCGAAGGCGGCUCACUGGCCCAUAACUGACGCUGAGGCACGAAAGCGUGGGGAGCAAACAGGAUUAGAUACCCCUGUAGUCCCUGUCUCUUAUAC
This 301-nucleotide ribosomal RNA is filed under the name uncultured bacterium. RNAcentral describes it as "partial 16S ribosomal RNA". It matches the Rfam family "Bacterial small subunit ribosomal RNA", at positions 509 to 807 of the family's 1533-position model. The record is from RNAcentral.